This 419-nucleotide long non-coding RNA is filed under the name Homo sapiens (human). Its description in RNAcentral is "HSALNT0132330". The record is from RNAcentral. Lineage: Eukaryota; Metazoa; Chordata; Mammalia; Primates; Hominidae.
GAAGAAUCAAGCUGUCAUCACACAAACUUACAAAAAAAGUCGAGGGAAACGGAGUUCCAUAAAAUGAAUUCCACUAGAGUUUUCACUGGAAUAUUAAUAUCCUCUUUUCCCGCAGACAAGACACAUUUAAGUUGAUUAUCUGCCCCGCCCUCCCCAUCCCUCUGCAAGCUGCAUACCAAUUCCUUACCUGCAGGCUUGACCAGACCUGGUGUUCUGGGAUCUGGUGUGAAAACAGAAUCACUGCCUCACUUAUUAUUCUUCAGAGAACAAUUUUUAUUUCUCUGUCUCUAAAUGUCACAAGCCUUUUCCAAUGUUCAAGAAGAAAAGAUGUCUCCAGGUUGCUGUGCAGGACAAUGAGCACAAGUUCCCUUUUUUUGCUUCAUGCUGGAGAAUCUCCAAGAAUUUCUGGUCAUCUGGAG